GACGAACGCUGGCGGCGUGCCUAAUACAUGCAAGUAGAACGCACAGUUUAUACCGUAGCUUGCUACACCAUAGACUGUGAGUUGCGAACGGGUGAGUAACGCGUAGGUAACCUGCCUGGUAGCGGGGGAUAACUAUUGGAAACGAUAGCUAAUACCGCAUAAUAUUAAUUAUUGCAUGAUAAUUAAUUGAAAGGUGCAAUUGCACCACUACCAGAUGGACCUGCGUUGUAUUAGCUAGUAGGUGAGGUAACGGCUCACCUAGGCGACGAUACAUAGCCGACCUGAGAGGGUGAUCGGCCACACUGGGACUGAGACACGGCCCAGACUCCUACGGGAGGCAGCAGUAGGGAAUCUUCGGCAAUGGACGAAAGUCUGACCGAGCAACGCCGCGGGAGUGAAGAAGGGUGUCGGAUCGUAAAGCUCUGUUGUAAGAGAAGAACGGGUGUGAGAGUGGAAAGUUCACACUGUGACGGUAUCUUACCAGAAAGGGACGGCUAACUACGUG
This 505-nucleotide ribosomal RNA is filed under the name uncultured bacterium. RNAcentral's name for it is "partial 16S ribosomal RNA". It matches the Rfam family "Bacterial small subunit ribosomal RNA", at positions 28 to 507 of the family's 1533-position model. The record is from RNAcentral.